AGACUUGCAUAUGCUUUUGCUCAACUUGUGGACAAAAUUUAUAGACAGGUACAAAAAAAUAAAUCUCUUUUUGCAUCUCAGAACUCAUUGUUUCAUAUGAGUUUUGAUGCAUAUAAGAAGAAAUAUA
This 127-nucleotide small nucleolar RNA is filed under the name Castor canadensis (American beaver). RNAcentral's name for it is "Small nucleolar RNA SNORA40 (ENSCCNG00000013641.1)". It matches the Rfam family "Small nucleolar RNA SNORA40". From Rfam's summary of the family: The snoRNA ACA 40 belongs to the H/ACA family of snoRNAs and guides the pseudouridylation of 28S rRNA subunit at position U4565. The record is from RNAcentral. Lineage: Eukaryota; Metazoa; Chordata; Mammalia; Rodentia; Castoridae.